This 484-nucleotide ribosomal RNA is filed under the name uncultured bacterium. RNAcentral describes it as "partial 16S ribosomal RNA". It matches the Rfam family "Bacterial small subunit ribosomal RNA", at positions 30 to 507 of the family's 1533-position model. The record is from RNAcentral.
AUUGAACGCUGGCGGCAGGCCUAACACAUGCAAGUCGAGCGGAUGAAGGGAGCUUGCUCCUGGAUUCAGCGGCGGACGGGUGAGUAAUGCCUAGGAAUCUGCCUGGUAGUGGGGGAUAACGUCCGGAAACGGGCGCUAAUACCGCAUACGUCCUGAGGGAGAAAGUGGGGGAUCUUCGGACCUCACGCUAUCAGAUGAGCCUAGGUCGGAUUAGCUAGUUGGUGGGGUAAAGGCCUACCAAGGCGACGAUCCGUAACUGGUCUGAGAGGAUGAUCAGUCACACUGGAACUGAGACACGGUCCAGACUCCUACGGGAGGCAACAGUGGGGAAUAUUGGACAAUGGGCGAAAGCCUGAUCCAGCCAUGCCGCGUGUGUGAAGAAGGUCUUCGGAUUGUAAGGCACUUUAAGUUGGGAGGAAGGGCAGUAAGUUAAUACCUUGCUGUUUUGACGUUACCAACAGAAUAAGCACCGGCUAACUUCGUG